Molecule: ribosomal RNA, 535 nt
Filed under: Saccharomyces cerevisiae (brewer's yeast)
Lineage: Eukaryota; Fungi; Ascomycota; Saccharomycetes; Saccharomycetales; Saccharomycetaceae
Description: partial large subunit ribosomal RNA
Rfam family: Eukaryotic large subunit ribosomal RNA
Source: RNAcentral
CGGCAAAAGCUCAAAUUUGAAAUCUGGUACCUUCGGUGCCCGAGUUGUAAUUUGGAGAGGGCAACUUUGGGGCCGUUCCUUGUCUAUGUUCCUUGGAACAGGACGUCAUAGAGGGUGAGAAUCCCGUGUGGCGAGGAGUGCGGUUCUUUGUAAAGUGCCUUCGAAGAGUCGAGUUGUUUGGGAAUGCAGCUCUAAGUGGGUGGUAAAUUCCAUCUAAAGCUAAAUAUUGGCGAGAGACCGAUAGCGAACAAGUACAGUGAUGGAAAGAUGAAAAGAACUUUGAAAAGAGAGUGAAAAAGUACGUGAAAUUGUUGAAAGGGAAGGGCAUUUGAUCAGACAUGGUGUUUUGUGCCCUCUGCUCCUUGUGGGUAGGGGAAUCUCGCAUUUCACUGGGCCAGCAUCAGUUUUGGUGGCAGGAUAAAUCCAUAGGAAUGUAGCUUGCCUCGGUAAGUAUUAUAGCCUGUGGGAAUACUGCCAGCUGGGACUGAGGACUGCGACGUAAGUCAAGGAUGCUGGCAUAAUGGUUAUAUGCCGC